AUGAGCCACUGUACUGUGCUGUGCCUACUUCAAAGGACUGAAAAUAAAAAAUAAAUAAAUCUUUGCCAAAUUAAAAAACAAAGCAAUAGUUUCCAGGUCUUAGAUAAAGACAAUUCUCUGUCAUGAAGAAUGACAAAAGGCUUAUUUAGCUGUUAAAAUGAUUUGCUUAUAUUUCAAAGAAGCAGAGAAAAAAAGGUACAUAUGAAAGUUUUCCAGGCCAGUCAUGGUGGUUCAUGCCUGUAAUCUGAACAUUUGGGGAGGCCAAGGCAUGAGGAUACCUUCAAGCCAAAUGUUUGAGUCCAGUACAGGCAACAUGGUGAAAUUCUGUCACUACAAAAAAAUAAAUAAAUAUGGCAGGGCAUGUUGGCUCACACCUGUAAUCCCAGCACUUUGGGAGUCUCAGGCAGGUGGAUAAUGAGGUCAGGGGUUCGAGACCAGCCUGGCCAAAAUGGUAAAACCCAUUCUCUACUAAAAAUAAUAAUAACAAAAAAUUAGCCAGACAUGGUGGUGUGUGCCUGUAAUCCCAGCUACUCAAAAGGCUGAGACAGGAGAAUUGCUUGAACCUGGGAGGUGGAGGUUGAAUUGAGACAAGAUCAUGCCACUACACUCCAGCCUGGCCCACAGAGCAAGACACUGUCCUGAAAAAAAAUAAAAACAAAAAUAAAUAAAGCUAGCCAGGCAUGGUGGUUCAUGCCUAUAGUCCUAGGUAAUUAAGCGGUUGAUGCAGGAGGACUGCUCAAACCCAAGAGGUUAAGGUUACAGUGAGCUAUGAUUAUGCCGUUGCACUUCAGGCUAAGUAAAAGAGUAAGAUUCUGCCUCAAAAAAUUACUAAUAAAAGUUUUCCAGAUUACAUUGUUUAAGGAAAGGGAAAAGAAAAACAUCUUUUUUUAUUUUCAAAUGGGAGAAUAGAGCCUCUCAUUUCUAAUUUGUAUUGCCUUCUGCAAAAACUUAGUCUAGGCCCAUGGUCUUGAACUACUGGACAUCUGAAAUUUGGUAGGUGCUGGAUUCAGGCAACUGAGGGGUGGCCUUGGGCACACUGUGUGCACAUAAAAGAAAGGGUUUGAGGUGAACUAAAAGGUAAAAGAGGGGAAGGUGCUAUUAAGAAACCACAAGUGAGAGACUGUACAGGGUUGGUGGAAGGACUGGUUCAUGCUACAGAUACUGACCCAGGUGAAACUUUGCUCUGAGUUAUUUCUAUGUUCAUGCAGGAAGACGAGAUUAUGAUCAGGUGGCACAGAAAUCUGGGAUGGUGAAAAAACCAGGUUGCCACUGCAGAUUCGGUGUCUAAGAUAGAACAUAUGCCAGGGGUCUUGUAGGCACGUGUGUGGGUUUUUGGUGGGAAAGUCUAUGAGGAAAGGUAGGAUGGGCAACAAUCUUGAUGCCAAAGCCUUGUCCUGAGAGGGGCUUGACCACAUCAACAUGCAGUGUGUAUGUUCAGUGGGUGAAAAACAUGUGGUGGCCUCAGGUUGGCAGGAGGGUAGAAGGCAUCUGUUCUCAGAACUUCUUCCCUCAGAGUCUUCAGUCUUUCUUACCAUGGGAGGAUGCCUGGAACCACAGGGCAGUGCAUGGUGUAGCGGCCUGUAUGCAGAGCAGAGUCUACCUUCCCCGAGACACCUGGAGUCUCUCUCCAGCAAAGGCCCCCACAUUGUCUUUCUCCUUACAACACUUUUGAUCCUAAAUGUGUAAAGUUCCCUGAAAACCGACUGAUUCUCCAACACCCAUUUGUUGCCCAAAAAUUUAAUUCUGACACAACUUAGAGUUCGCACAGACCCCACAAAUUCAGGGUUCAGUCCCACAUCACCCCUCUCACUGCAGAGGUUAGUCACAUGUCCCAGAAGCCCAUCUAUACUUCUGAGCUACUGCCUAUAAAUCUGAGACUCCCAUAAACCCCUUUUCAAGUUAAAUAAUUUGAUAGAAUUACUCAAAAAAAUUCAACAAAUAAGUCUAAUUAUAUUUACCACUUUAUUAUAAAAAUACAACUCAGAAACUGACAAAUGGAAGAGAUGUCUAGGACAAGGAACAGUUGUGGGUGAAGGUAAUCCUGGAAAUAGCUAUAUUUAAAGAAAUUCCCCCAUUCUUUGUGUUCUCAAAGAACAGCUUAGUGAAGAGAAACGUGCUUCCCAUUAUGACUUUGUGGAUGUUCCCCCCCCUUUUUUUUUAACCUAUCACAAAGACGGACACAGAUUAAAAAUUCCUAUUUUUAAAAAUGAACAACCAUUCUGUAAUUUAGUCUUCAGUGGUCAAAACAGAGUACUUGUUAACAAAACUUUGCUUGUUCCCCUUCUUCCCUCAGCCCCUGAACUCUGACUCACCCACAGCCUCAGAGAACCUACAACCCAUAUUUAUACAUAUCCCUCCUAAGAACAGGCUGACUUCAAGAUGAAACAUUAUCUUAUCUGGGAUCUGAUUUUGCUACCCUCCAUCCUGUGCUUCCCUUCCAACCUUCUUUGUAAACUUGCUUUCUCCUCCCUAUGAAAUAAAGCCCUUUUCUACCUGACCUUUGAGAUCCUCAAAGAUCUAAUCAUUUGUACUUUUUCCUUGUUACAACACUUCUUAAGUAACUUCUUAGACAAAGUCUGUAAACAGUCUCAGGACAAUAACAAUUCCAUUCUAGAAAGAAUAUCCCAACAUUUCUUCUAUCUCAACCUUAACUGCAUCUGCCUGUCAACUUCCAGCUUACCAAAGCUCUGUAUCUUUUGACAGUGACAAAGGCUCCUUCUAUGGUUGGUGUGAGCAGACUUUGACGCCUGCAGGGCAGACACCCAGGAAUAAACAACUGGGCCUUCAGUGGCCCCCUUUUGCAGGGUCAACGUUAGCCUUAGCUUUUAGUCAAUGGUCUAAGACUUCUACUUACCAGUUAAAGUCAUUCAAUUAGUUUUCAAUUUAAAAAAUACUUCAUGUUUGAAGAAUCCAGCAAAAAUCAUUCAAAUCUAAGGUUUAAAAGAGAGGAAAUUAUGGCCGGGCAUGGUGGCUCAUGCCUGUAAUCCCUGCAUUUUGGGAGGCUGAGGCGGGCAGAUUACCUGAGGUCAGGAGUUCGAGACCAGCCUCACCAACAUGAAGAAACACAGUCUCUACUAAAAAUACAAACUUAAACGGGGGUGGUCGUGUAUUCCUGUAAUCCCAGUUAAUUGGGAGGCCGAGGCAGGAGAAUUGCUUGAACCCGGGAGGUGGAGGUUGCAGUGAGUGAAUAUCAUGCCAUUGCACUCCAGACUGGGUAACAAGAGUGAAACUAAGUCUAAAAAAUAAAAUUAAAAUUAAAAAAGAAAGUUAUAAGGGGCUUACAUUUUAUAACUCAACAAGAAAAGCCAAAGUAUCUAUCCCUUUCAGAAAAUAAACAUGUAAUUUAAUUAUGUUCAUAACAAAUCAUUUAGUAAACAAUUAAUCAUAUGUGAACACUUCCAGGAGGUGCCAAGUCCCAGCUCCUACAACUUAGCAUUACCCUCAAACACCCAGAUGGCAGCAUAUGGAACAGAGAUAUUCACUUUCAGAAGUUCUCUGUUUUGAAAAAAAGAAUAACUGAUGUGAUAAAUUUAUGUAAUUUAACAAUUAAUCUACCUCACGUGCUUGUAGGUAUGUAUUCAUUUCCUACCACCGUAGUGGAAGAGAGACUAUCCCUAUCUAUACACCUGGUAACAUUUCCAACAGUAAGCUGUGAGAUUCUGCUUGAAAUCACCUCUCAAACAAAUAAAAAACAGUCCUGGGAAAUGUACUACACUCAUUCUGCUAAAGAAAUAGUGCAAGAACUUUUUCUAAGACCCCGAACUCCAGAUAUGCGAUGGGGCAAAUCCUGAAGUGUACAUGGAUAUCUCUCACAGCUAAAGCAUCCCUCAACCCUAUCCAGGGCUUCUUACCCCUGGCGCAAGAGAAUCACCGGCGGGGAGGAAAACUUUCAAAAUCCCUUAAACCCAAGUUGUAACCGAUCAAUUAAAUCAGAAUCCUUGGAGCUGGAUCUGAAAAAAAUAUGGUUUAAAGUUGUGCAGGUGAUUACAAUGUGUAGGCAAGCCACAAAACCAUGGCUUUAACCAGCAGCUUUUGUUAGAAAUGAUUUCUCAAAUGAAUGUGAAAACUUUUGCUGCUGAAUUGUGACCUUUCAAUUUUACCUGCUUUUCCUGCAAAGUAUAUUUUGCAGACCCAGGCAGUGCUGCUCUCUCUGUUCCUGAUUCAUCCAGUGCCAUGUGUGCUCAGUGCAUCCUGUGCAGGGAUCACUGUGUGCCCUGGCCUGGGUGAGCAUCAUUCUUCGGUGAGAACCUUUCCGAAAACAAAGCUGCAUUCCAAAAAGUUAAAACCAUUCUACUUACUGUGUUGAAGUAAAAGCAGCGGGGCUCACCCAAAAGUUAAAACAUAAAUAAAUAACUUGGAACAUUAACAUACACCUGAUGAUGUCCUGAGUGAACACGCCCCACUUUAAAACAAAACAAAACAUUGCUAUUAUUCUAAAAUAUUAAUUUAGGAUUGUUAUGCAAACAUGCACUCUUUACAUUUUUAUUGAUGUAUAACAUGCAUACAGCAAUAUAGGCACAAAGCAUUUAGGGAAUGUUUGAUGAAUUAUUACUAAAUAAAUACACUUGUGUAACUAAGAAUCAGAUUUGUUCAUGCCCCUGACACUUUCUCCUUCCCAAAGGUAACCAAGACCUUAAGAGCUAAGUGUAGAUAAAUUUUGUCAUUUUGUACAAGUGUUUUAUUACAGAUCAUUAAAAACAUAUACACAAUACAAAAAAAGUAUAACAGACCAGUCAUCCAGCUUUAACAUCUGCUAGUCAUGUGUCAUUUUUGUUUUAUCUAUACUUCCAGCCAUGCCCCCACCCCCAAUUUCAUUAUUUUUUAGGCUUUUUGGAUAAAAUUUAUAUUCAUUGCAAGGUACAAUGCGAACUGUAAAUAGUAGAGAGAUGGGGUUUUACCAUGUUGGUCAGGCUGGUCUUGAACUCCUGACCUCAGGUGAUUCACUCUCUUCGGCCUCGCAAAGUGCUGGGAUUACAAGCGUGAGCCAAUAUACUCAGCCUGAGAAUUCAUAUUUCUAAUAAAGUACAAAUUCAUAGGGCACAUGACAACUGCAAUGUCUAUCUACAGUAAAAACAGUUUGAUGAAUAAAAUAAAAGGCAAUUGACUUAAGGUGGGAAAAAAACAAUCAAAGCAUGGUUACUAUGUGCCAUCUGUAGGAGCAUUUGGUUAAGAAUAACAAACAAACCAAUUUUAUUGUUUUAAUAACAGAAAUUGGCAAAAUUUCUAGUUUUUCUUUCAUAGGAAUGCUCUUAGCAAGAAAAAAUUUUCAUAUGGUGAGAGCAAAAAUGACAACCAUUUGCAAGUAAAUGUCUUAUGAAAUUAAGUAGCAGAUAUCAAGCUCAUGACCUUCAGAUAGUUACCCCUAACUCAAUCAUUUACAUAGCAAGUGCAGAUAAUUUUCAUAGCUCCCUAUUACAAUUAUAUUUUACUCCCCUUACAAAUUGUGACUGUUUUUAAAUAAAGUUCACUAACUAAAAUGUUGUAUAUGACAUAUGAUAAAUUCUCCUUCAAGUCACCUUAUAUUUACUUAAUUGUGUUAGCCAGUGUCUGUCUACCUCCCAAUAAUACUUGGGGAUUCUCCCUCCAUUUGCACAGGCAUCAUAGCUGGGAAACAGGGAUUCAAAAGACCCAGGCUGUUCCCUACAUAUGUUUCCUCCUCAGACAUCAGUUCAUCAGUCAAUCAAGUCAUGUGUGAGUGGAGGCCAUGUAUUCCCUCUUAUUCUUGGGCACUCUCCUCCAAGGAGGAAAAGGCCAGGAGGUCCUGUUAGAGGAUGCACUCUGAGAGCCCGGGCUCCCUAAGGUAUGAGAGUUCUAAACAGCAGGUGUAGACUUUUCAGGAGUGAGGAAUGAGGCAGGCAUUCCAAACCUGGACCGUCAUCACCUUUUGUUUCAUCUCAAGACAAUUCUGAGGGGCUGUUUCGGAGCGUGUCUGGAAGGUGAAUGUUGAAGAAGAGUGUGGGCUUUGAUGUGACUCAGAUGAGAUC
RNAcentral lists this long non-coding RNA (5984 nucleotides) under Pan troglodytes (chimpanzee). Its description in RNAcentral is "lincRNA". The record is from RNAcentral. Lineage: Eukaryota; Metazoa; Chordata; Mammalia; Primates; Hominidae.